RNAcentral lists this transfer RNA (83 nucleotides) under Butyribacter intestini. Its description in RNAcentral is "Lachnospiraceae bacterium TF01-11 tRNA-Gly". It matches the Rfam family "tRNA". Rfam says of the family: Transfer RNA (tRNA) molecules are approximately 80 nucleotides in length. Their secondary structure includes four short double-helical elements and three loops (D, anti-codon, and T loops). Further hydrogen bonds mediate the characteristic L-shaped molecular structure. tRNAs have two regions of fundamental functional importance: the anti-codon, which is responsible for specific mRNA codon recognition, and the 3' end, to which the tRNAs corresponding amino acid is attached (by aminoacyl-tRNA synthetases). tRNAs cope with the degeneracy of the genetic code in two manners: having more than one tRNA (with a specific anti-codon) for a particular amino acid; and 'wobble' base-pairing, i.e. permitting non-standard base-pairing at the 3rd anti-codon position. The record is from RNAcentral. Lineage: Bacteria; Bacillati; Bacillota; Clostridia; Lachnospirales; Lachnospiraceae.
GAGCGUAUGGCGGAAUUGGUAGACGCGAUAGUUUGCCAAACUAUUAUCUUAAUGAUGUGCGGGUUCGAGUCCCGCUACGAAUG